RNAcentral lists this ribosomal RNA (117 nucleotides) under Actinobacteria bacterium HGW-Actinobacteria-4. Lineage: Bacteria; Bacillati; Actinomycetota. The record is from RNAcentral.
UUCCGUAGCCAUAGCAAGAGGGAAACGCCCGGUCCCAUUCCGAACCCGGAAGCUAAGCCUCUUUGCGCCGAUGGUACUGCACUGGAGAUGGUGUGGGAGAGUAGGUCGCUGCGGGAC